CCACCUUAAUGCACAUCACUUGAUCUAGAUCUCGACCCUUCCGCUCCCUAACCUUGGCAAGCCUAAACAACCUCUUCUCCCCUCUUUUCUCCUCUAACCCCUUAUACAAACUUUCAAAAAUUGCUGUCUUAGCCUCCGUAAUAAAUAACUUAGCCUCCUUUUGAGCUACCUUGUACUCCUCCUUGCUUACCCGCUUCUCUUCUUUAUCCUUACUCUUUACCAACUUAGUGUAAGCCGCCUUCUUUGUCUCCACCUUUUUCUCAACCUCUUCAUUCCACCACUAAUCCCCCGAUACCAGCCAGACUAUUUGCAAUAAAUACUUGAAUUCCAAUUUUACUGCUGCCUUGAAUCUAACUCGAACUUGUUUUUCAAUUUUUUCACAUACAAAUUACGUUCGACAACCAAAACUUGAUAGGUACAUCAGUAA
This 427-nucleotide long non-coding RNA is filed under the name Capsicum annuum. RNAcentral describes it as "long non-coding RNA (CANN_LNC020594)". Lineage: Eukaryota; Viridiplantae; Streptophyta; Magnoliopsida; Solanales; Solanaceae. The record is from RNAcentral.